Long non-coding RNA from Gasterosteus aculeatus aculeatus (three-spined stickleback), 1874 nucleotides. The record is from Ensembl. NCBI's taxonomy places the organism in Eukaryota, Metazoa, Chordata, Actinopteri, Perciformes, Gasterosteidae.
GCCUGUCCCUCUGCUCUUCCUCCGCUCACUCACACCAUGGCCUGCGGGACGCCCCCCCCCCCCCCGAGCAGACAGACUUACUGAACCUGCUGCAUGAGCAGCCUGCUGUCCAGCUAUUUUCCGUUUAGGAUCAAGAUGAGACAACCCACGAAAACUCCACAAGACAGAGCACCGAUACGUGCUUUUGUUGGUAUGUCUGCUCUCCCAGAGGAGUCCAGAUGUGAGGCACUGGAAGGGACUGGAGGGAUCUUAAUGGCUCCAAGUGUAUCUAUCUGAGACCAGAGAGGAAGAGAGUAUGCUUCUUUCCCACAUCAACGGGACCGAAAGGUUGAACUUCUUCAGCUCCUUUAGGACGGACAUCCUCUUGGCUAACAAUUACGCUGCUCCCACUUGAGACCCACAGCAUCGAUGAGGGAGUCCCACGGGGUUAAUAGGGGCGUUCACUUAAAAAAACAUUCAAAGAACCGUGUAGAUGCUGGCGCGCAAAAACAAAGGUGUUUUAAUUCUGCUAGAAGUGGAUAAAUAAAUGAUUUUGAAUUGUAGUCUUCUUCCAGCGUCUCUGUAGACCAGCAGUUAUUAUUUCUGACAGAAGAGAAUCCUUCAAUGAACUUAUUCACUUGGAUUACAUCUCAUGCUUGUAUGGUAGUUGAGUAGUGUGCUUGUUAUUUUUGGCCUUGUUUAAUCCCAAUGGGGAAGAUUGUUGCAUAGGGUCAGUAAAAAACAUAUUAAACUGUAUCAAAACAAAUUAGUUUGAUAAAUGAAAUUUCAUAUUUCAUAUCGUUUGGGGUGUUGAAUGUCCAUUACCAAUAAAAGGGUCCCGAGGACAAAAAAAGUUCCUUAACCAAAAAACUUCCAGUCGACUUCCCAGGCUUUUCCUUGUUCUGGGCUCCUCCAUGUAGGGCCGGUUCCCAGUCUGCUGUUCGCUUUUCCUUCCAGCCAGGUGUUGGUCCCCAGCCCGGCCUCAAUUGGGUGCCUUAAACACCUACAGCUGUGGGAUUGUUGAGGCCUUCUGGGAAAUGCAGUGUCAGUGGCGGCCAUCUUGUACCUAUUUUGCGCAGGGAUGCUGUGGCCCUCUAUUACCUUGCCCCUUAGGAUGCCACAUCUCAUUUUCAGGAUAGCAAAAUAAAUGACUUAAUUGCAGUGCUGCAAUUCAGUGUCCUCUCUUAUUUUGUGUAGCGUAGAUUCUCUUUGGGGAAUAAUGAGCACGAGGCGACCAGACUGGUUUCGCUCUCUGAAGUUUGUGCCAGAAACGCACAUCCUCGUUAGACUGCUCCACUGGUACUGAGAACUGAGAGUUCCCAGCAUCGCCCUUUGUGAGCCAUUGUGUUUGCAUCACUCUCCAGCCCCUAAACCUUCAAGUGUAUAAUUGAGUGGCUACAGAAUAUUUUCAUUAAGUCAGAAGUAUGUGUCCGGACAGAGUGAACGUCUCUGUACUCAGCCUAAUGUACUUCAGAGAACUCUGCUACGGGGGAAUUGAAUUGAAGGUCUUAAAGGGUCCACUUUGAAAUAGAUCAGUACCCGCUUACACCCCCCCCCCACCCCACCACUCACCCUGGAUAUGAGAGGUGCGGGCAUACAUUUCAAAAUGGACAGCGAAAGAAAUUAUUGAGUUUUCGUCAUUUUGAUCUGAGUAUUGAGAGGGGAUAAAAAGGCACAGUCCAAAGCGCAUCAGAAAAAAGGAGCUUACAUUUCCUAUAAUAUUAAACCGAAGUCAGCCUUUGAUCUUUUAAUCCUGCGCUCAUAAGGUUGUGAGAUAAGCAGGCAUGACUAACGUCUCUUUCUAAUAGUGAAGAAAGAGCAGAGCCCACAUAAUGAGCUCUUUUACCCCUUUUGAAGACAAAUUGGACUGAAAUUCCAUAUUUAAUGGAUCUUAC